RNAcentral lists this long non-coding RNA (2474 nucleotides) under Canis lupus familiaris (dog). RNAcentral's name for it is "lncRNA (ENSCAFG00845016325.1)". The record is from RNAcentral. Lineage: Eukaryota; Metazoa; Chordata; Mammalia; Carnivora; Canidae.
UUUUGCUUUAUAUAAUAGUAUCAAGAAGUGAUGGUUAGAAUUAAGCUUGAUUAUGAGAUAUAAAAACUAAAAUAAUCAUAGCUUACAUCCAAUAAAAUUUUCUCUCAUGUGUGCAGUGACUGAAGGUAGGUGGCCCAGAACUGGCAUGACCAGGUUCCACUGAGAUCACUGUCCCAUCAUACCAGAUGGAGGCCUUCAUCCUUGUGGUCCAGGCAGGCAGUGUCACCAUCCCAGGCAGAAUGGAGAAAGGGGGAAAGUGAGGGCAAAGGGCACGCGGCCACUGUCUUAAGGAAGGUUUUGAGAGGCUGUGGGAUUACUUUACUUACAUGCUGCUGGCUAGCAUUUAUUCAUGUGCCUUCAACUCAAGCUCCAGGCAGGCAAGGCAGGGAAAUGCAGUCUUUACACUGGGCACCCUGUGUCCUGUCAAAAAUUCUAUUGUGUUGGGGGAAAGUGAGAAAGGAUGUAGUGGGGGCAAUGAGCCGUUUAUGCCACACUGAACUUUCAUGCACACAUCAAAAUUCACUUUGGAAAAGUAUCAGAACACUCUAAAAAAAAAAUCACUUUUUUUUCAGAAAAGGAAAAAAAUUUAAAGAUUUGAUUUAUUUAUUCAUGAGAGACACAGAGAGAGGAAGAGAGAGAGAGAGAGGAAGAGAAGGCUCCUUGUGGGGAGCCUGACAUGGGACUCGAUCCCAGGACCCCAUGAGCCAAAGGCAGAUGCUCAACUACUGAGCCACCCAGGUGUCCCAGAAAAGAAAAUUAAGCUCUACUGUUUGAUUGACCUGAUGCAUUAUUUAAAUAAUAGCACAGAUGCCCUAAAUAGCACAAAUACCCUUCUUGAAUAGAAAAACAUAUUUAAUAUUUCCACAUGGCUUAGCAAGAACAUGUCAUCUCCUGCUGCAACUCUAGCAGCAAAGGGAGUCUUUUCACUUUGUGCUCCUAGUAGGUUUCCCUGAUUUGAGUUCUUCAGGAGAAUAGUCUGGAGUGGAAACAGGCAGGCCUAGAGACCGUGGGGUUGUGGAUUACCGAGCAGCAGAAGAAAAGUGAGCAGGACUAGAAAGCAUGAAGUGGGGCUGGAGGGGGCAGGGAGAUUCAGCAGGGAAGUUUCCCUCUGUCUCUCAUCACUUCGUUUCAUCACCAUGAAAUGUGCUUUCUGCUCUAAAUGAUUCCUGGGCCACUGUGAAAAGCAGGGGAAUGAAACCAGAGGCAUAAGCUGAAGGCUAGGGAACCCCUGGUGGCAGCCAGAUCCACAGGAGGUUGAGUGCCCAGGUACCAAGCGUAAUGAACAUAUCAGCUCAUUGUAUUCCCUGAACAAUCCUAUGAAGCAGGAAUUGUCAACUCCAUUUUACCAAUGACUCAGAAAGUUAAAGUAAACUCCCCGGAGUCACAAAGCCAGUAAGAGCUAAAGUCAGAAUUCAAAUCCAUGUUGUGUCUACUGGCUAAACUGAUGUCUCACUGAGGAGAUGAGAUUAUCCAAACACCUCAGGCUCAGGCCCCAUGUUCUUCUAAGAUGAUCUGGUCAAUGAAGGUAUCACUUGGGAUCCGUAAUUACUAAAGGCGAGGAAUGGUAGAUGUCAAGAAAAGGAGAAUGAAAAGAGGCACGGUACUUCUGAAAUAAUUUUAUUCCACCUCUACUGUUCUGCUGAGCAUCAGUUUUAUCAGCUUCUUUCAUUAUUCUCCUUGAAAUCAUGAUUAUUGGCUUAACUGCAGUUGCCAGCUCUUCCAUCAUUCUUUAGCUACAAACCCUCCUGGACUUUGUCCCAAAUGUGAUGCAACAGCUGUGCAAGACAAACUUAUUCUUUCCCCGGCAUUGUUUGAGACAAUACUUCUUUUAUAGGCCAAAUGAAGUCUGGUUGCUAAAAAUGUUGAAUUCUUUAAAAAAAAAUAUUGAUUUUUUUCUUCUCUGAGUGUCCCUACAGAUGGCAGGCAAUGUUGGUUGACUACUCUGUAGCCCCUUUUGUCCUUGCUCAUUAAAACCUUGAUUUUGUUCAAGUAUUCCCCAUCCAUGCAUCUUGGUUCAGCCUUAGGUGAAAUGUGACUGGUUUGAAAAAGGAACAGUAGUUUCAUUUUUCUCACUAGGAAUUGAUUUCAGAAUGGACAGCUGAUAGAAUUCUGGGUAAUAUGAAAUGGGGGAUAUCUGACGGAAGCCUCUGGGAAAUUUUUCUUUACUUAUUAAAAAAAUGGAUGUAAGAAAAGAAUGCUUGCUCUUCUGGCCUUUAGACAUGGUCCUAUAAAGAUGACAUGUGUGGAGACGUCGUAACCAUUUUGUCAACAUGGAGAAAUCAACUAGGUGACAAAAGCAAAGGUGCUGAGGAUGGCAGAGCAGAAAGAUUGAAAGAAUCUAGACUCUUGGGGAUCCCUGGGUGGUGCAGCGGUUUGGCGCCUGCCUUUGGCCCAGGGUGCGAUCCUGAAGACCCGGGAUCGAAUCCCAUAUCGGGCUCCCGGUGCAUGGAGCCUGCUUCUCCCUCUGCCUAUGU